This 1141-nucleotide ribosomal RNA is filed under the name Candidatus Synechococcus spongiarum. RNAcentral describes it as "bacterial SSU rRNA". It matches the Rfam family "Bacterial small subunit ribosomal RNA", at positions 376 to 1533 of the family's 1533-position model. Lineage: Bacteria; Bacillati; Cyanobacteriota; Cyanophyceae; Synechococcales; Synechococcaceae. The record is from RNAcentral.
CGAAAGCCUGACGGAGCAACGCCGCGUGAGGGACAAAGGCCUUUGGGCUGUAAACCUCUUUUCUCAAGGAAGAAGAUCUGACGGUACUUGAGGAAUAAGCCACGGCUAAUUCCGUGCCAGCAGCCGCGGUAAUACGGGAGUGGCAAGCGUUAUCCGGAAUUAUUGGGCGUAAAGCGUCCGCAGGCGGCCGUCUAAGUCUGUUGUUAAAUCGUGGAGCUCAACUCCAUCACGGCAAUGGAAACUGUUCGGCUUGAGUAUGGUAGGGGCAGAGGGAAUUUCCGGUGUAGCGGUGAAAUGCGUAGAUAUCGGGAAGAACACCAGUGGCAAAAGCGCUCUGCUGGGCCAUUACUGACGCUCAUGGACGAAAGCCAGGGGAGCGAAAGGGAUUAGAUACCCCUGUAGUCCUGGCCGUAAACGAUGAACACUAGAUGUUGGGGGAAUCGACCCCCUCGGUGUCGUAGCUAACGCGUUAAGUGUUCCGCCUGGGGAGUACGCACGCAAGUGUGAAACUCAAAGGAAUUGACGGGGGACCGCACAAGCGGUGGAGUAUGUGGUUUAAUUCGAUGCAACGCGAAGAACCUUACCAAGGCUUGACAUCCUGCGAAUCUCUAAGAAACUAGAGAGUGCCUUCGGGAACGCAGUGACAGGUGGUGCAUGGCUGUCGUCAGCUCGUGUCGUGAGAUGUUGGGUUAAGUCCCGCAACGAGCGCAACCCACGUUUUUAGUUGCCAGCAUUAAGUUGGGCACUCUAGAAAGACUGCCGGUGACAAACCGGAGGAAGGUGUGGACGACGUCAAGUCAUCAUGCCCCUUACGCCUUGGGCUACACACGUACUACAAUGCUGCAGACAAAGAGUAGCGAUCUUGCAAAAGUUAGCUAAUCUCAUAAACUGCGGCUCAGUUCAGAUCGUAGGCUGCAACUCGCCUACGUGAAGGAGGAAUCGCUAGUAAUCGCAGGUCAGCAUACUGCGGUGAAUACGUUCCCGGUCCUUGUACACACCGCCCGUCACACCAUGGAAGUUGGCCAUGCCCGAAGUCGUUACUCUAACCUUUUGGAAGAGGGCGCCGAAGGCGGGGCUAAUGACUGGGGUGAAGUCGUAACAAGGUAACCGUAGCGGAAGCUGCGGCUGGAUCACCUCCUAA